CCUACGGGUGGCAGCAGUGAGGAAUAUUGGUCAAUGGCCGUAAGGCUGAACCAGCCAAGUAGCGUGAGGGAAGACUGCCCUAUGGGUUGUAAACUUCUUUUAUGCGGGGAUAAAGGUGUUCACGUGUGGAUUUUUGCAGGUACCGCAUGAAUAAGGACCGGCUAAUUCCGUGCCAGCAGCCGCGGUAAUACGGAAGGUCCGGGCGUUAUCCGGAUUUAUUGGGUUUAAAGGGAGCGUAGGCCGGUCUUUAAGCGUGCGGUGAAAUGUUGUGGCUCAACCGUGGCAGUGCAGCGCGAACUGGGGACCUUGAGUGCGCGGAAGGCAGGCGGAAUUCGUGGUGUAGCGGUGAAAUGCUUAGAUAUCACGAAGAACCCCGAUUGCGAAGGCAGCCUGCCGCAGCGUUACUGACGCUGAAGCUCGAAGGCGCGGGUAUCGAACAGGAUUAGAUACCCGGGUAGUC
RNAcentral lists this ribosomal RNA (460 nucleotides) under uncultured bacterium. RNAcentral describes it as "partial 16S ribosomal RNA". It matches the Rfam family "Bacterial small subunit ribosomal RNA", at positions 338 to 795 of the family's 1533-position model. The record is from RNAcentral.